This 253-nucleotide ribosomal RNA is filed under the name uncultured bacterium. Its description in RNAcentral is "partial 16S ribosomal RNA". It matches the Rfam family "Bacterial small subunit ribosomal RNA", at positions 524 to 776 of the family's 1533-position model. The record is from RNAcentral.
UACAGAGGGUGCGAGCGUUAAUCGGAAUUACUGGGCGUAAAGCGUGCGCAGACGGUCAUGUAAGUCGGGUGUGAAAGCCCCGGGCUCAACCUGGGAAUUGCAUUCGAGACUGUGUGGCUAGGGUGCGGAAGAGGGAAGCGGAAUUUCCGGUGUAGCGGUGAAAUGCGUAGAUAUCAAGAGGAACACCAGUGGCGAAGGCGAGUCCCUGGACAAUACCUGACACUGAGGCACGAAAGCCAAGGGAGCAAACAGG